This 359-nucleotide ribosomal RNA is filed under the name Bacillus subtilis. RNAcentral's name for it is "bacterial SSU rRNA". It matches the Rfam family "Bacterial small subunit ribosomal RNA", at positions 707 to 1065 of the family's 1533-position model. The record is from RNAcentral. Lineage: Bacteria; Bacillati; Bacillota; Bacilli; Caryophanales; Bacillaceae.
GGCCGUAAAGAGSCGACCUCUCUGGUCUGUAACUGACGCUGAGGAGCGAAAGCGUGGGGAGCGAACAGGAUUAAAAAACCUGGUAGUCCACGCCGUAAACGAUGAGUGCUAAGUGUUAGGGGGUUUCCGCCCCUUAGUGCUGCAGCUAACGCAUUAAGCACUCCGCCUGGGGAGUACGGUCGCAAGACUGAAUACUCAAAGGAAUUGACGGGGGCCCGCACAAGCGGUGGAGCAUGUGGUUUAAUUCGAAGCAACGCGAAGAACCUUACCAGGUCUUGACAUCCUCUGACAAUCCUAGAGAUAGGACGUCCCCUUCGGGGGCAGAAUGACAGGUGGUGAUGGUUGCCGUCACCUCUUGU